RNAcentral lists this ribosomal RNA (497 nucleotides) under uncultured bacterium. RNAcentral's name for it is "partial 16S ribosomal RNA". It matches the Rfam family "Bacterial small subunit ribosomal RNA", at positions 28 to 507 of the family's 1533-position model. The record is from RNAcentral.
GAUGAACGCUGGCGGCGUGCCUAAUACAUGCAAGUCGAGCGAACGGACGAGAAGCUUGCUUCUCUGAUGUUAGCGGCGGACGGGUGAGUAACACGUGGAUAACCUACCUAUAAGACUGGGAUAACUUCGGGAAACCGGAGCUAAUACCGGAUAAUAUUUUGAACCGCAUGGUUCAAAAGUGAAAGACGGUCUUGCUGUCACUUAUAGAUGGAUCCGCGCUGCAUUAGCUAGUUGGUAAGGUAACGGCUUACCAAGGCAACGAUGCAUAGCCGACCUGAGAGGGUGAUCGGCCACACUGGAACGGAGACACGGUCCAGACUCCUACGGGAGGCAGCAGUAGGGAAUCUUCCGCAAUGGGCGAAAGCCUGACGGAGCAACGCCGCGUGAGUGAUGAAGGUCUUCGGAUCGUAAAACUCUGUUAUUAGGGAAGACCAUAUGUGUAAGUAACUGUGCACAUCUUGACGGUACCUAAUCAGAAAGCCACGGCUAACUACGUG